RNAcentral lists this ribosomal RNA (633 nucleotides) under uncultured Tomentella. RNAcentral's name for it is "eukaryotic LSU rRNA". The stretch from base 219 to 373 matches the Rfam family "5.8S ribosomal RNA". The record is from RNAcentral. Lineage: Eukaryota; Fungi; Basidiomycota; Agaricomycetes; Thelephorales; Thelephoraceae.
CUGCGGAAGGAUCAUUACCGAAUUGUCAACAAGGGUUGUUGCUGGCCCCUGCAUGGGGGCAUGUGCACACUCUGUUUACACAUCCACUCACACCUGUGCACCCUCUGUAGUUCUAUGGCCUGGGGGCCUUGUCCUCCUGCCGUGGUUCUACGUCUUUACACACACACAUUGAAAUGAAGUCUAAUGGAAUGUAUGUCGCGUUUAACGCAAUGAAAUACAACUUUCAGCAACGGAUCUCUUGGCUCUCGCAUCGAUGAAGAACGCAGCGAAAUGCGAUAAGUAAUGUGAAUUGCAGAAUUCAGUGAAUCAUCGAAUCUUUGAACGCACCUUGCGCCCUUUGGCUAUUCCGAAGGGCAUGCCUGUUUGAGUAUCAUGAACACCUCAACUCUCAUGGCUCGCCGUGAUGAGCUUGGACUUUGGGGGUCUUGCUGGCCUGUGGUCGGCUCCUCUCAAAUGAAUUAGCCUGCCGGUGUUUGGUGGGAUCACAGGUGUGAUAACUAUCUACGCUUGUGGUUUUCCACCAGGUAACCCUCAGCAAUGGAGGUUCACUGGAGCUUAUAAACGUCUCUCCUCAGCGAGGACAGGUUUUGACCAUUUGAUCUCAAAUCAGGUAGGACUACCCGCUGAACUUAA